Molecule: long non-coding RNA, 5315 nt
Filed under: Nicotiana benthamiana
Lineage: Eukaryota; Viridiplantae; Streptophyta; Magnoliopsida; Solanales; Solanaceae
Description: long non-coding RNA (NBEN_LNC009308)
Source: RNAcentral
AAUAUACCCCAUCCUUUACUCCAAAAACUUCAAAUAGAGAACAAAUAGCCGCUCACGAAAGGUUUUUGAGAUUUUUUGUUCUUCACAAUCAGAAGAAGCUCACCCAUUUCGAGCAAAAAUCUGUACCGAAAUCUUUGAGAAAACCCCAAAUGUUGACCAAAAAUCUUUGAAUUGGAACCAAAGCAGAGUGCUUUUUCGUAGUGAAUAGAUUGACGUCGAGGUUCGCUUUCGAUUCAGAUUCUCCUUUGAGGUGUUAGUCGAGAUCCGGUCCCGAUUCAUGCGAGCUUCAUUAUAUGGUUCUGAUCUUAAAGGUUUUGUGCAUUAACUCCAUAAAUUAAACAAAUUUGGCUGUCAAAGGUUCCUUCUCUCACUCCUUUAUUUAAUUAUUGUGUGUAAAAAGUUAUAGUUUUAAAAGUGGUACCAAUUUCCUUUCUGUUGUUUUACGUAUUUGUUUUAGUAGAUUACAUCCAAUUGUUUUUUUGAGUUAAAGUAACAUUGGAAUCUACAAUUUGAAUAAUUGUUGGAAGCAUAUUUGAAUUCAUUAGUAUAAUCGCUACUAUGAUAUUAGAGUAGCAUUCUUGUUAAAUGGGUUAAUUGCUCCAAAAGCUGGAUACAACGAUUAGCCAUUUUAGGAGUUCAUUUCAUGAUGAGUUGUGGAAAUCUUAAGUAAUAUUUUGGGAGUUAAGUUGUUUGGAGGGAAUUAAAAUUGAUACAAUAGCUAAUUUGUAAUUUGGCUUGCUAAUAAUAAUUAAGUCAUGACCUCGCAAUAAUGUUAAAGUAGUCUAGAAAAAUAAUUUAUGAAUAUUUGUAAUUUGUUUUAGUUGAGUAAAGCCCUUUGGAAUAAUUUGAGAUGCACCGUGCCAAAUAGAAUCUCAACUGCAUGGCCCUCAUUUUAAAUUGUAUUGAUCUUUAGAAUCUGAGCCGAGCUGUUUAGUCGAAAUUCCAUGGCCCUCGCAAACUUGCAAACGCAUAUUCAUUUUAGGCGCUCUAGUUAAAUAAUUCACUUUCCUAAAUGCGGGUACGCAUUUAUGCGACCAAAAUCUAAAUUCCAACAAUAUUAAAAUAUGUCAAAAAUCACGGGUGCAUUUAUGUGACGUGAUUCGAGACGUGUUUUAAUAACGUUGUAAUUCUCUUUAAAAAAUAAUAAUAAAAGCGGUUAAAAAGUUAAAACUGGCACAUAGGUUCAUAAUUGUUUAAAAUUAGAUACUUUAAGCCAAAUAUAACAGUUGAGCGACCGUGCUAGAACCACGGAACCUGGGAAUGCCUAACACCUUCUCACGUGUUAACAGAAUUCCUUACUCGGAUUUCUAGUUGAUGAAGAAGAUGAAGUUGAAGAAGAUGACGAGCAAUAUAAUAAUGAUACUGGAGUACCAGAAUUUGACAAUAUUGUAGAAGAAUAUGAUGCUCAUUUCGUGCUUUAAUUGAUGCUAUUCUUGACAAUCUUGUAGAAGAAUAGGAUGCUCAUUUUGGGCUUUAGUUGGUGCUACUCUUUUGUUUUUUAAUUUAAGUAUUGAACAUUUGCUUACAUUUACAUGUGUUGUCUAUGCCGUAUUUAUUUUAAUUUCUUUUUAAAAUUCCACUUCACUUCAAAAAAGCGGACGCUUCGCUUCUCGCUUCUCGUGAAAUGGGGGUUGUCGCUUUUCCCCGUCUCACACUAUUUUUAACACUGGACAUAAUAUUAUCUGGGAACGGACCACACAAAAAAACAUAGCAUAAAAUAUAUACAUGCAUUUCACAUGUCUUCUAGACCUAACGAACAUGUUCGCUAGCUAUCCAACAUAGUGAGGGUCUUAUGAAUACAAAGGGAGUCCCUAUGUUUUUUUGAUCGGUAAGAGUCACAGCAAAUCAUUAAAAUUAAGGCAAAAAUCAAACUUUUUUCUUUUUAUAGUAGUGGUGUCAGAACCAACUUGCGCGCACAUCGAUUGAUUCAAUCGGUGGCCAGCCUACAAGCAAAGGUACCUCGCAAACCUGCCCACCUAUUACAACUAUGCUAUUCAAACAUAUAAAAAAACUCAGGCACCUAUACAACCCUCUUUAAAUAUAUUUCAGACUAAUAUAACUUAUUUGCCUUCUCAAUGAUUACUCAGUUACAGUACAUUGUUUACUCAAUCAUUAAUGUUGUCCAAACUAAUUGGAUCAAUUACAUUGGGACGUUGAAGACUAGAUCAUUGAGACGCUUCAAGGUUUGUUUGCUCCUCUUUUUGGUAUGAACCUACAAAUAAUAAGUAAUUAGUAAGAUUAGGACAAUCGAGAUAUAAUUUAAUUAUCUCAAUAUUCUAAAUCUUUCUUAUUAGUUCUUACAUGCUCAAACACACUCCAAUUCCUUUCACACUAGGGUGAGUUACAUGUUUGACUUAGAACUUUGAUGACAAACUUUUGUAAAUCUGGAGUGGAAUGACCAUAUUGUUUUUCACCAUCCAACUAUAGAAGUAGGACAAAUUUUCAAAACAUAAUAUUAAUUAAUAAAGACAUAACUUAUUAACUAUAAAACAACAUAUAAGCACUCGAUCAGCUGGUGACUUCGUCUUUCUUUGUCUAAUUGCCAUAUAUUUUCUAAAAAGUUAUUCGACAUUCCUAUAAAUAUUAAAUUGCUCUGUGAUUUUAUCUUGCAUGGAUUCUUCAGGUAUCAACUUCUCAAUGCAUUCAUAUUAUCCAUUCCACAAAGGUUCAUCUCUUAAAAUCCUCUCUUCAUUGUCAUAAAACAGUUCCGGGUUCAAAACAAGUCCAACUGCAUGCAAAGGGCUAUGAAGCUUACUAUCCCGCCUUUUAUCUAUGAUCUCAAAAACUCUUUUUGUAUUUUUUUAUCACUGAAAGAGGCUUGAAUAACAUCCUUUGCCAUAUCAAUUGCUUCGUACAAGUAGCCCAUUGGUGAUCUUUGCUCCCCAUCCACCAAAUGAAGCACUUUAACUGAAAGACCACCAAUUUUCAAUGCAUGAACCACAUUGUUCCAGAAUGAAGUAGAAAGUAUAAUAUCUGCAAAUUCUUUCCCUCGAGCUUCCUUUCCAUAGGCACUGCUAGUAUACUCAUCUGAAACAAACUUCUUCAAAUUGUUUGUUUGCUCAUAUAUUCUAGCCAAAGUCAAGAAAGCAGUAGCAAAUCUUGUCUUUGCAGGUUUCACCAAGCUUCUUUGCUCAUACAUCCUAGCCAAAGUCAAGAAUGCAGUAGCAAAUUUUGUCCUUGCAAGUUUCACCAAACUUCUUUGUUUAAUGAAUCUCUUCAUCAUGUUCAAUAACAAAGGCCUUUGAACAAUAUAGGAAUGCACUUUAAUUGCCCGAUUAAAGACAACACUGAAGGGCCUUUCCUUGAAAAUAUCACCGAAGAUCAAAUUAACAGAAUGUGCUGCACACGGAGUCCAAUAAAUAUGCCGGUAGCAAGCAGACAUCAUCUCACCAGCUUUAACAUUUUCACUGGCGUUGUCCGUGAUUGCUUGAACAACAUUUUCUGCUCCAAUAGAGUCUAUUGUACUCUUGAACAAGGAGUACAUUUUGGUUGAAUCAGUCGAAGAGUCGCUUGCAUCAACAGACUCAAGAAACAGAGGCUUCCCUCAGGAGAAUUCACCAAGAUAUUGAUGAUCAUUAUUCCAUUUCUCGCUGUCCACUUAUCCAUCAUGAUGGAACAACCAAACUUUUUCUAUUUUAUUUUGUGCUCCUCCACGAUUUUGUUCACCUCUGCCACCUUUUUUUUAGAUAUGGUCCACUAACUUCAUAAUAAGUUGGAGGCUUCAUUCCUGGCCAUAUUGGCCUACGACCUCAAUAAAAGCAACAAAAAUGUCAGUAUAAUUAAUACAAUUAAAAGGAACACCUGCAUCAUACAUCCACCGGGAAAAAAAGGUAACUGCAACGUCCCUCAAAAUCGCGUUUGCAUCAACUUGAAGAUUACCACUUUUUCUUCCCUUAUUUCCAGGUUUUUGUGAGAAGUAACAAUGCAUAGGACCUUUGGUCUUGCCAGUAGAUCUGCAACUAGAAGACAUUGGUGGAAGCAUCCUUCCCCGCUUUUGUGAUUUUGGUGGAAGCGACGAAUCAUCGUCACCUUCUUUUGUUUCAUCAUCAUCAUCAUCAAGAUUACAAAGUUCUUGUUCAUGAUUCAUUUGAGUCUUUAACUCUUUCUUUUUUUGAAGGUAUACUUUCAAUUCUUCCUUUACAUACCCCGGAACUUUAGGACAUGUGCGACAUUUGGAUCACCACCGAUUAGAUGCGCUUUUUGACGAUAGAUUCCUGUAUUUGUAAUCUUAUCACAAAAUAGACAUCUAAUGGCCAUCUUGUUGGUCUCGCUAACUCUUGUAGAGUAAGCCCAAGCCGGGUCUUUCCUAUCUUCUUUUGGCGCCAUUAAAAUAUUAACUACAUAACACAUAAGAAAGGCAAUAAGAACUAAGAAUAAAAUAUAUAUAAUUGGGUAGAAUCUGGGCAGAAAUGAGGCAGAAUUUUUCUGAAAAAAAUUUGUCAGCAUUUUAGCGUUUUUUUGGAGGUUUAGAAAGAAGAAGAAGAAGAAUGAAAAUAAAAACAUACCUGGUGAAACUUGAAAGCUGUUGUUGUAAUGCUGAAGAAGAAGAAGAACCCUAGUUUGCUUGAACAAAUCAUUGCUUCAUGCGAGGAAGAAAUUGCUGGUCUUUUGAGGAAGAAAAGGCUGGUUUGGAACCCUAGUUUGCUGCUGAAGAAGUGUCUAAAACAGAAGAUUCAACGAUUUGGGUCUUUUAAUUAAAAAAAACUCGUUUAGGCCUUUUAAUUCAAGAAGCGAUCGCUUCUUCCGCUCCCGACCGCUUCAUCGCUUCUCACUUAUUUUAGAGAAGCGGUCGCUUUUCUGUACAUGAGUCGCUUUUCUGUACAUGGGCCACUUUUAGUUGGGAUAGCGACCAAUCCAUCGCUCCGCUUCGCUUCUCGCUUAAAGCGAGGAAGCGGAUAACACUGAUUAUGUCCUAUGGAGAGAGCUAUAGAGAUAGAGGACCAUGAGGUGGGGUUCAACUAGAAAAACUGCUAUGAUUGGUAGUAUGUCUCAGUGUUGUGAAAAGCGAGCACUUCGUCGCUUAAAGCGCGAAGCGACUCGACGCGACCAACUGUCGCUUUUUACAGCUUGAAGCGAUGCGACCACCAGAAGCGCUCGAUUAACAGUGAAAAGCGAGGCGAGGCGAAGCGAUCGAAGCGACCGAAGCGAGCGAAGCGAUCGAUUACCCGAAAAAAUCGAUCGACCAGUUAAAAACAGAGAUCGACCAGUUCUGGAAUUAGAGUUUCCACUUUCUAGCGACGGAAAUUAGAAACAGAGCUCGACCAACGACCCCUCUUCUUCUCCAGUGACGGAAAUUAGGGUUUCCAUCUUCNNNN